GAAAGUUCCCUUCGGGGGACAAGUAGAGUGGCGCACGGGUGAGUAACACGUAGGUAAUCUACCUUUGGAUGGGGAAUAACAACCGGAAACGGUUGCUAAUACCGCAUAAUGCAGCGGCACCUAAUGGUGACAGUUGUUAAAGCGGGGGAUCGAAAGACCUCGCGUCUGAAGAGGAGCCUGCGGCGGAUUAGCUAGUUGGUAAGGUAACGGCUUACCAAGGCGACGAUCCGUAGCCGGCCUGAGAGGGCGGUCGGCCACACUGACACUGACAUACGGGUCAGACUCCUACGGGAGGCAGCAGUCGGGAAUUUUGGGCAAUGGGCGAAAGCCUGACCCAGCAACGCCGCGUGAAGGAUGAAAUCCCUCGGGAUGUAAACUUCGCAAGAACGGGAAGAAUAAGUAGGGGACAAUACCCCCUAUGAUGACGGUACCGUUUGUAAGCUCCGGCUAACUCCGUGCCAGCAGCCGCGGUAAUACGGGGGGAGCAAGCGUUGUUCGAAUUUACUGGGCGUAAAGGGCGCGUAGGCGGCCACCGCAAGUCAAUUGUGAAAUCUCCGGGCUUAACUCGGAAAGGUCAACUGAUACUGCGGGGCUAGAGUGCGGAAGGGGCAACUGGAAUUCUUGGUGUAGCGGUGAAAUGCGUAGAUAUCAAGAGGAACACCUGCGGCGAAGGCGGGUUGCUGGGCCGACACUGACGCUGAGGCGCGAAAGCUAGGGGAGCGAACGGGAUUAGAUACCCCGGUAGUCCUAGCC
RNAcentral lists this ribosomal RNA (753 nucleotides) under uncultured Acidobacteriota bacterium. Its description in RNAcentral is "bacterial SSU rRNA". It matches the Rfam family "Bacterial small subunit ribosomal RNA", at positions 69 to 801 of the family's 1533-position model. Lineage: Bacteria; Pseudomonadati; Acidobacteriota. The record is from RNAcentral.